GGACUACUAGGGUUUCUAAUCCUGUUUGCUCCCCUAGCUUUCGUUCCUCAGCGUCAGAAGUGGUCCAGCGAGCCGCCUUCGCCACGGGUGUUCCUGCAGAUAUCUACGCAUUUCACCGCUACACCUGCAAUUCCGCUCGCCUCUCCCACACUCGAGCACGGCAGUUUCGGAGGCAGCCUCUGAGUUGAGCCCAGAGAUUUCACCCCCGACUUGCCGCACCGCCUACGAACCCUUUACGCCCAGUAAUUCCGAGCAACGCUGGCCCCCUACGUAUUACCGCGGCUGCUGGCAC
RNAcentral lists this ribosomal RNA (292 nucleotides) under uncultured Acidobacteriota bacterium. RNAcentral's name for it is "uncultured Acidobacteria bacterium partial 16S ribosomal RNA". Lineage: Bacteria; Pseudomonadati; Acidobacteriota. The record is from RNAcentral.